AGUCCCUUUGCUUGAUAGAAGAAGCAUCUGGUUAGUGGUGCCCAUCUCAUAGCAGCCAGGGACAGAGCAAUUCCUUGUUUAUCCCAGCAUUGCUUUUGGUCUGUGCUCUUGCUUAGUACAUGCCCUGAACACAAUA
Small nucleolar RNA from Suncus etruscus (white-toothed pygmy shrew), 136 nucleotides. RefSeq annotates it as small nucleolar RNA SNORA48. The transcript has a single exon. NCBI's taxonomy places the organism in Eukaryota, Metazoa, Chordata, Mammalia, Eulipotyphla, Soricidae. The record is from RefSeq and is a predicted model, not a curated record.